RNAcentral lists this ribosomal RNA (440 nucleotides) under uncultured bacterium. RNAcentral's name for it is "partial 16S ribosomal RNA". It matches the Rfam family "Bacterial small subunit ribosomal RNA", at positions 338 to 795 of the family's 1533-position model. The record is from RNAcentral.
CCUACGGGAGGCAGCAGUAGGGAAUAUUGCUCACUGGUGGACACCCUGCCGCCUCCCCUCCUCUUUUCUGAUGAAGGUUUUCGGAUUGUAAACUCCUUUUGUUAGAGAAGAUAAUGACGGUAUCUAACGAAUAAGCACCGGCUAACUCCGUGCCAGCAGCCGCGGUAAUACGGAGGGUGCAAGCGUUACUCGGAAUCACUGGGCGUAAAGAGCGCGUAGGCGGGAUAGCAAGUCAGAUGUGAAAUCCUAUGGCUUAACCAUAGAACUGCAUUUGAAACUGUUAUUCUAGAGUAUGGGAGAGGUAGGUGGAAUUCUUGGUGUAGGGGUAAAAUCCGUAGAGAUCAAGAGGAAUACUCAUUGCGAAGGCGACCUGCUAGAACAUAACUGACGCUGAUGCGCGAAAGCGUGGGGAGCAAACAGGAUUAGAUACCCCUGUAGUC